Non-coding RNA from Ictidomys tridecemlineatus (thirteen-lined ground squirrel), 69 nucleotides. The record is from Rfam. Lineage: Eukaryota; Metazoa; Chordata; Mammalia; Rodentia; Sciuridae.
GGGGCUGUAGCUCAGUGGUAGAGCACUUGCCUCACAAGUGGGAAGCACUAGGUUCAACCCUCAGCACCA